UGGGGAAUAUUGCACAAUGGAGGGAACUCUGAUGCAGCGACGCCGCGUGAGUGAUGAAGGACUUCGUUUCGUAAAACUCUGUUCUAUGGGAAGAAAAGGACUGUACCAUAGGAGAAAGCUCCGGCUAAAUACGUGCCAGCAGCCGCGGUAAUACGUAUGGAGCGAGCGUUGUCCGGAAUUAUUGGGCGUAAAGGGUGCGCAGGCGGCUUUACAAGUUGGAUGUGAAAUAUUGUGGCUCAACCACAAACGUGCAUCCAAAGCUGCAAAGCUUGAGUUAAGGAGAGGUAAGUGGAAUUCCUGGUGUAGAGGUGGAAUGCGUAGAUAUCAGGAGGAAUACCGGUGGCGAAGGCGACUUACUGGACUUAAACUGACGCUCAGGCACGAAAGCGUGGGGAGCAAACAGG
Molecule: ribosomal RNA, 404 nt
Filed under: Fusobacteriota bacterium
Lineage: Bacteria; Fusobacteriati; Fusobacteriota
Description: Fusobacteria bacterium partial 16S ribosomal RNA
Rfam family: Bacterial small subunit ribosomal RNA
Source: RNAcentral